This 217-nucleotide non-coding RNA is filed under the name Tribolium castaneum (red flour beetle). Its description in RNAcentral is "Eukaryotic small subunit ribosomal RNA". It matches the Rfam family "Eukaryotic small subunit ribosomal RNA", at positions 1 to 1112 of the family's 1831-position model. Lineage: Eukaryota; Metazoa; Arthropoda; Insecta; Coleoptera; Tenebrionidae. The record is from Rfam by way of RNAcentral.
AGUUCCCUAGUUGAUUCUGCCAGUAGUAGUUAUAUGCUUGUCUCAAAGAUUAAGCCAUGCAUGCAAACACGCUUUCAUUAAUCAAGAACGAAAGUUAGAGGUUCGAAGGCGAUCAGAUACCGCCCUAGUUCUAACCAUAAACGAUGCCAGCUAGCGAUCCGUCGACGUUCCUCCGACGACUCGUCCAGCAGCUUGCGGGAAACCAAAAUUUUUGAGC